Molecule: ribosomal RNA, 253 nt
Filed under: uncultured bacterium
Lineage: Bacteria
Description: partial 16S ribosomal RNA
Rfam family: Bacterial small subunit ribosomal RNA
Source: RNAcentral
UACGUAGGGGGCAAGCGUUGUUCGGAAUUACUGGGCGUAAAGCGUGCGCAGGCGGUGAUGUAAGACAGAUGUGAAAUCCCCGGGCUCAACCUGGGAACUGCAUUUGUGACUGCAUCGCUGGAGUGCGGCAGAGGGGGAUGGAAUUCCGCGUGUAGCAGUGAAAUGCGUAGAUAUGCGGAGGAACACCGAUGGCGAAGGCAAUCCCCUGGGCCAACACUGACGCUCAUGCACGAAAGCGUGGGGAGCAAACAGG